GUUGAACGCUGGCGGCGGGCCUAACACAUGCAAGUCGAGCGGUUGAAGGGAGCUUUCCCCUGGUUGCAGCGUCGGGCGGGUGAGUGAUGCCUAGAAGUCAGCUUGGUAGUGGGGGAUGAUGUCCGGAGACGGGCGCUAAUACCGCAUCCGUACUGAGGGUGAUAGAGGGCGUUUUUCGGAACGCUCGCUUUCCGAUGAUACUAGGUCGGCUUGGCUAGUUGGUGGGGUAAGGGCGUACCAAGGCGACGAUCCGUAACUGUUCUGAGAGGAUGAUCAGUCACACUGGAACUGAGACACGGCCCAGAUUCCUACGGGGGGCAGCAGUGGGGAAUAUUGGACAAUGGGCGAAAGCCUGAUCCAGCAAUGCCGCGUGUGUGAAGAAGGUCUUCGGAUUUUAAAGCCCUUUGAGUGGGGAGGACGGGCAGUAAGUUAAUACCUUGCUGCUUUGACGUUACCUAAAGAAAAAGCACCGGCUAACUACGUG
This 484-nucleotide ribosomal RNA is filed under the name uncultured bacterium. RNAcentral describes it as "partial 16S ribosomal RNA". It matches the Rfam family "Bacterial small subunit ribosomal RNA", at positions 28 to 507 of the family's 1533-position model. The record is from RNAcentral.